RNAcentral lists this long non-coding RNA (2535 nucleotides) under Musa acuminata (dwarf banana). RNAcentral's name for it is "long non-coding RNA (MACU_LNC001184)". Lineage: Eukaryota; Viridiplantae; Streptophyta; Magnoliopsida; Zingiberales; Musaceae. The record is from RNAcentral.
ACGCAGAUGGUCUCGGUAAAGAUGGUGGGCAACGCAAGCGAAGGAGCAGGUGGUGAAAGCUCCACGAGAGGCUUCGCUGGUAUGAGUCUGUUCGUUUCCUUGUUUUUCGAGUUUUAUUUUAUCGUCAUAACAUUUCUUUUUCCAGGAAACACCAUCGAACUGCGGAAGAUUAUUAGUCUGUCCAUUUUCCCCGUUUCUUGAAAUUUCUCGCCAUACGAUUUCUUUUUUCCCGCUAUGAGCAACGAAUCGGUGUAGGGUUGGUUCAGUUAUUGAUCUCGAUCCACUUCUUGCUUGAUUUUUCCUUUCCCUUUUUUUUUUUAAUUUCUUUGAUAUAGGGAUUCGCGUCUUCUUAGGGGCUAUGAUCCGAAGUGGUGUCAUUCGUAUUACCGAAUCGUUUUGGUUUCUGCUAAUUUUGAUUCCAGUAAGGCAGGAAGAUGCAUUUCGACUUACCAUCAUCGCAUUGUCCUCUUCUUCUUACAACAUGAACACGGUUUUCUUGGAUCCUUUUAUUUUAGAUUAGAGAGAGUGCUGCCGUGUUCUUAAACUUUCCUGUUAGCAGAAUAGCAUGGUAAGUAGUGUACUUUGUUCAAGAUUUGCAAUUACUUGGAUAGAAAUCUCAAGUAAAUGACAUUCCUCACCUGUACUUUUGGCAUCAGAUCCUAAAUAAAUGAAACAUGGAUUACCUAAUUUAUGAAAUAGGAUAGAAGAGAGAUCAAAAGGGAUUAACUGCUUACAAUAUCUCUUUGGUUUGGUGGGCACAAAUGCUACAUUGAUGGCUUCCUUCCUAGUCGUAUAUGAAAUAAGAUAGAAGAGAGACUGCUAAUCUUUUGGGGUUGGGUCGAUCCGACUUUGUAAAAGAAGUAGUGCCCUAAAAGCUUGUAUCAACCAUAAAGAUAUCCGAGUCAGACACAGGCGAGUAUAAUAUUUGAUAAUAAAAGUUGCGGAAUCAUACGUUUUACAUGUAUUUAUUUUCAUCAUUUAUCUACAAUGAUGACUAUAUAUAUAUAUAUAUAUACAGAAGAAUUUUUCCAGAUGUCAUGACGUUAACCAUGUAUUUCAAAAGUACAUAAAAAUAAAUUAUUCCAGGCUAGCCUAAUAAUGUUGGUCUCGUUUCAAAAAAAAUUUAAUACUCAUGUCACGACCUUAACCAUGUAUUCAAAAGUAUACAAAAGUAAAUAUUAAACUUCUAACCUAUUUUCGACUCAUGGUGCAUUUCCGUAGAUGCUCUCUAAUUCCAAAUUUAGCAUGCAAUAAAUAUAUCAAAACUGAUACCGAUAUAGAGCUAGCAAUAGGUCUCGAAAGAUAGGUGGGAUGUCACUCGCGAGAAUCAAAUGUAUAGACAUUCGUGUUAUCCAUAUUUAAUGGACUCUUGGAGACCUUAAUGAUUUCAUUAUCCGAGAUGACAAAUCCUCUCUCUCUCUCUCUCUCUCUCUCCCUCUCUCUCUCUCUUUUGUUUAUUAUUUCCAUAUACAAUUGUUCCUUCUGUGCAUAUUAGGCCGUGAUCUAUUUUCUAUUUCACUCAAGUUGUAUAUUUUCUUAGUAAGUUAUCCUCUGUUUGAUAUGCACAUCAACCAAAUAUCAUCCAUCUUUCAGGUUCAAACAAAUUUUGAUAAACCUUAAAAUGAUACAUGGAAGAACUAGUGUAUAAAUAACCUUGAGUUGUAGGCUUUAUCUUUCUUCUCACAAGUAACUUGAGAUAUUUUUGGUUUAUCGUUAAAAUCUUAUUGACUAAUUCGUUUAGUCCGAUCUAUAUUAUUUGCAUUAUUUAUUAUAUAAUCAGUAAUAUUCUGUCAAGUUAUUUAUUAGUAGGUUCAGGCAAACCCAAGUUUAUAUAAAAUUAACAUCACUGUCGUAAAACAACUUGCUACUGACAUUAAGCUCAUUGUGCCACGCUACAGUGGUCAUAUUGCAUUUAAGAAAGCACUAGUUGAACUCAAUUCUCAUAGGUUACCUCUUCUCAUUAUAUAUACUAGUGAUGAAGCUUCUAAGACAAUACCUCAUAUUUUGAACAACUGGUGGAAUAAGGUUCUAUCAUCCAUAUGAGAUGAAAUGAGACAUACAAAGUUGUGAAUACGCCUGCCCAAAACAUCAAUGAAAAUCAUGUAUGCUUGUCAUUCUCUCAUGUCAUAAGUUGAAGUUUCUUUCGCUAAUCACCUUUAAUUGCAUAUACAGUCUCAAGUUAUGGGUUGGAGUGAUAUGCAUGUGUCCAGUGACGUCCGUGUUUCGUCAUAGUGGCUGCAAGCAUGUUUGGGCUUAGGAUUACUAGUCCAACCCCUCUGGUGGGUUGAAAUUAUGGGUGAAGACUGCUAAAGUAGAAGUGCUGACCUCGUUGUGGCUCCCUACAUGUUUGAUUCUCUUUUUUUUUUUGCAGUAUUACAGUGGAGCUCAUAAGGUGAUAUUACCAUCUAAAUUGAAGCAAACAAAUCGAUUAAAACAUAUAAAUUUAGUAUUAGUUUAAGUAUAUUACCAUUACACUUUUUGAGUGUUGUUCCUAAUAUAUUAUAGAAAAAAACAUCAAAAUGUCAACAGUUUUGA